GCCUGUUUCAACACACCUGAGAAGAAAAAGCAAAUUGAUUACUCCUUAACCUACACUGCUAACCAAGCCUGCAGGGAGACGUUUCUCUUAGCCGUGUCUGCCUCAGCGCCUUUGCCACCCAAAGCUUGGAGACAGUUUUAAUUGCAACAUGACGACCACAAGAAAAGCCCAGAAUCCUCAUAAAAGCACAGCAAAGUUGGCUGCAGGCCCACGGAGGAGAGCAAGCCACACCGUAAUUACAGGGUUGUGGUGGAUCCGAAGCAUUUCCUCAAACCUCUGGGAGAAAUGUGGGACACAUCACAGAGCUCUAUCAAUCAUAGAACAUUCAUCACACACACACACAGGCUCAAUCUUCAAGUCUCCAGUUUUGGUGAGCCUGUGCCUACUGUAGCUGACAGAAGAUUCUUGGCUGACAGAAAUGGAACCCAAUGUGGUCUUAAGCUGUUGCAUCCCAUCGACCACGAGAAUUCGACGUGUUUUGUUUCUGAGAUGCUUUUAUGCUCACCACGAUUGUAAAGAGUGGUUAUUUGAGUUACUGUAUACGUCUGGUCAGUUCAAACUAGUCUGGCCAUUCUCC
Ictalurus punctatus (channel catfish) is the source of this 577-nucleotide long non-coding RNA. The record is from Ensembl. Lineage: Eukaryota; Metazoa; Chordata; Actinopteri; Siluriformes; Ictaluridae.